GAUGAACGCUGGCGGCGUGCCUAAUACAUGCAAGUCGAGCGAGCAGACGAGGAGCUUGCUCCUCUGACGUUAGCGGCGGACGGGUGAGUAACACGUGGAUAACCUACCUAUAAGACUGGGAUAACUUCGGGAAACCGGAGCUAAUACCGGAUAAUAUAUUGAACCGCAUGGUUCAAUAGUGAAAGACGGUUUUGCUGUCACUUAUAGAUGGAUCCGCGCCGCAUUAGCUAGUCGGUAAGGUAACGGCUUACCAAGGCAACGAUGCGUAGCCGACCUGAGAGGGUGAUCGGCCACACUGGAACUGAGACACGGUCCAGACUCCUACGGGAGGCAGCAGUAGGGAAUCUUCCGCAAUGGGCGAAAGCUUGACGGAGCAACGCCGCGUGAGUGAUGAAGGUCUUCGGAUCGUAAAACUCUGUUAUUAGGGAAGAACAAAUGUGUAAGUAACUAUGCACGUCUUGACGGUACCUAAUCAGAAAGCCACGGCUAACUACGUG
This 497-nucleotide ribosomal RNA is filed under the name uncultured bacterium. RNAcentral describes it as "partial 16S ribosomal RNA". It matches the Rfam family "Bacterial small subunit ribosomal RNA", at positions 28 to 507 of the family's 1533-position model. The record is from RNAcentral.